RNAcentral lists this ribosomal RNA (573 nucleotides) under uncultured bacterium. RNAcentral describes it as "bacterial SSU rRNA". It matches the Rfam family "Bacterial small subunit ribosomal RNA", at positions 272 to 842 of the family's 1533-position model. The record is from RNAcentral.
GGCGACGAUGCGUAGGGGUUCUGAGAGGAAGGUCCCCCACACUGGUACUGAGACACGGACCAGACUCCUACGGGAGGCAGCAGUGAGGAAUAUUGGUCAAUGGCCGCAGGGCUGAACCAGCCAAGUCGCGUGAGGGAUGACGGUCCUAUGGAUUGUAAACCUCUUUUGUCAGGGAGCAAAGGACGCCACGUGUGGCGUUUUGCGAGUACCUGAAGAAAAAGCAUCGGCUAACUCCGUGCCAGCAGCCGCGGUAAUACGGAGGAUGCGAGCGUUAUCCGGAUUUAUUGGGUUUAAAGGGUGCGCAGGCGGAAUGUCAAGUCAGCGGUAAAAUUUCGGGGCUCAACCCCGUCGUGCCGUUGAAACUGGCGUUCUUGAGUGAGCGAGAAGUAUGCGGAAUGCGUGGUGUAGCGGUGAAAUGCAUAGAUAUCACGCAGAACUCCGAUUGCGAAGGCAGCAUACCGGCGCUCAACUGACGCUCAUGCACGAAAGCGUGGGUAUCGAACAGGAUUAGAUACCCUGGUAGUCCACGCAGUAAACGAUGAAUACUAACUGUCCGGGCCGAUUGAGGUCUGG